UUAUACGGAAUGAUUGGGCGUAAAGCGUCCGCAGGUGGCAAUGUAAGUCUGCUGUUAAAGAGCAAAGCUCAACUUUGUAAGAGCAGUGGAAACUACAUAGCUAGAGUACGUUCGGGGUAGAGGGAAUUCCUGGUGUAGCGGUGAAAUGCGUAGAUAUCAGGAAGAACACCGGUGGCGAAAGCGCUCUACUAGGCCUGUACUGACACUGAGGGACGAAAGCUAGGGGAGCGAAUGGGAUUAGAUACCCCAGUAGUCCUAGCCGUAAACGAUGGAUACUAGGCGUGGCUUGUAUCGACCCGAGCCGUGCCGUAGCUAACGCGUUAAGUAUCCCGCCUGGGGAGUACGCACGCAAGUGUGAAACUCAAAGGAAUUGACGGGGGCCCGCACAAGCGGUGGAGUAUGUGGUUUAAUUCGAUGCAACGCGAAGAACCUUACCAAGACUUGACAUGUUGCGAAUCCUUGUGAAAGCAGGGAGUGCCUUCGGGAGCGCAAACACAGGUGGUGCAUGGCUGUCGUCAGCUCGUGUCGUGAGAUGUUGGGUUAAGUCCCGCAACGAGCGCAACCCUCGUUUUUAGUUGCCAGCAUUAAGUUGGGCACUCUAGAGAGACUGCCGGUGACAAACCGGAGGAAGGUGGGGAUGACGUCAAGUCAGCAUGCCCCUUACGUCUUGGGCUACACACGUACUACAAUGCUACGGACAAAGGGCAGCAAGCUAGUGAUAGCAAGCAAAUCUCAGAAACCGUGGCUCAGUUCAGAUCGAAGGCUGCAACUCGCCUUCGUGAAGGAGGAAUCGCUAGUAAUUGCAGGUCAGCAUACUGCAGUGAAUUCAUUCCCGGGCCUUGUACACACCGCCCGUCACACCAUGAAAGCUGGCAACGCCCGAAGUCAUUACUCCAACUGUUCGCAGAGGAGGAUGCCUAAGGCAGUGCUGGUGACUGGGGUGAAGUCGUAACAAGGUAGCCGUACCGGAAGGUGUGGCUGGAUCACCUCCUUUUAGGGAGACCGAAUCCACUCAAAUAUCGAAAACAUUCAGUGAAUAGAUAAUGAGAUGGUCAUUCCUAGGUCGGUCGAGAUUGGUUAAAGCUUUCAAAGUAUUUAAGUACGGUUUAAGAACGAUUGAAACUAGAGGAAAUAGUAAUUCAGCAACAUGGCGAGAGCCAGACUGCUGGGUAUUAUCCAGCCAGAACCUUGAAAACUGCAUAGUAACGCGAAUAUAGCAGGCAGAUACAGACAUUCAAGAAGUGAAUGUGUUUGCAGUGGUGAACACCAAUUGUUUAGUGGUCAAGCUAAUAAGGGCUGAUGGUGGAUACCUAGGCACACAGAGGCGAAG
This 1330-nucleotide unclassified non-coding RNA is filed under the name Calothrix sp. CHAB TP201520. RNAcentral's name for it is "bacterial SSU rRNA". The stretch from base 1 to 994 matches the Rfam family "Bacterial small subunit ribosomal RNA", at positions 541 to 1533 of the family's 1533-position model. Lineage: Bacteria; Bacillati; Cyanobacteriota; Cyanophyceae; Nostocales; Calotrichaceae. The record is from RNAcentral.